CAGUGUGCACUCUUCUUUCCUACCCACAGCGUACUACUGGUCUGACUGUGGCCCUUAUAGCAACAAUGGCACUGGCACAUUCAGAGGACCUGCGGCCGGCUUCAUUAUCCUCCUAAUCACCUGCGGCUUUGAAAUGCUCAUCGGCGCCCCGUCAAACCUCUCAUCUGUCACAUUCUCAGGCAAAGGUCAAAGGUUGCCGGCAUCCUUCCCGCAGACUUCUUCCCCCUCCACCCGGCCCUCACCCAGAUGAUCUUCUACCUGUACGUGCCUCCAUUUUUUGCCAAUUACUUUCUGUGGCAGAGCUACAGGGUGCAGAGCAUGUUGUCCAUCCUGAACUCGAUGACGAUCGUUAUGAAGCCGCUGCUUCUCUGUCUGAUGUGUGUGGAGAGGUACCUGGCUGUGGUGCGACCCCUCAACUAUCAACGGUUCAAGGCGCCUCAGUAUCGAUGGGGAUCUGUAGGUGUCUCAUGGUGCAUUUACAUCGCCGUGACUUCCUGGACUAUUACUGGGGGCUCUCACUGGCCAUGGUGUGCCUCGCCGUUCUAGUUAUAAACACCUUCUGCAGCCUGUCUAUUCUCAAAACAUUAAAAAAGCCUCCGCCGGGGGACACAGGGGUAAUGAAAAAGAAGAAGAAGGAAGGGGAGGUGGAGAGAAACACUGGCAAACAGGGGAGUCGAGGAGUAAAGGUGGAGGAUGGGGGGGAA
Long non-coding RNA from Pseudoliparis swirei, 704 nucleotides. RefSeq lists it as uncharacterized. NCBI's taxonomy places the organism in Eukaryota, Metazoa, Chordata, Actinopteri, Perciformes, Liparidae. The transcript is spliced from 3 exons. The record is from RefSeq and is a predicted model, not a curated record.